Molecule: long non-coding RNA, 220 nt
Filed under: Phoenix dactylifera (date palm)
Lineage: Eukaryota; Viridiplantae; Streptophyta; Magnoliopsida; Arecales; Arecaceae
Description: long non-coding RNA (PDAC_LNC005103)
Source: RNAcentral
UAUAUAUUACAUGUUGCAUUCAUGCAUGUAGGUAGGCGUACUAUUUUUAUAUUUUUAUAUAUACAUACAUACAUUAUAUAUGUUUAUAUAUGUGUAUAUAUCCAUAUGCAUCUAUAUAAAAAUGUGGCAGUUGAGAUGGUAUAUAAAAUUUUAAACUAUACCUAGCCCGAUUUUGGGUUCGGGCUGAAAAAUGACCAAGCCAUGCCCAUCUCUAUUGACC